This is a long non-coding RNA of Equus asinus (donkey), 2061 nucleotides long. NCBI's taxonomy places the organism in Eukaryota, Metazoa, Chordata, Mammalia, Perissodactyla, Equidae. The record is from Ensembl.
CUGCCCAGCAGCCUCCUGGACCAAGGAGGGCUUCGUCUCCAGUGGCUGCUGGUGAGACAGAUGGAGGGUCCACUCCCAGGACCCGUCACUCUGUCAUUCCUGACUCCCUGGAUUAAACUUGGUGAUCUCAUGCUACCAACCAACUGACAAUGGGACAGACAACCACUCGCACCAUCCCCACGACCAAUUUUGCUGCUCACGUGCUGAUUGGCUCUUCCCAUUUUGUCUCUUGUUAUUUGAAAUCAAUGACUCAGUGCACUAGGUCAAGACUGAAGAAGUUCCCCUCGGAGGAACUACAACCACUUAUUCUUCAGCUUCAUAUUAUGAAGGCUGAGACUGAACCCUUGGUAUGGCUAGUUUUCCUACCUUAAUUCUCAUUUGUAGUUUCCCAGGCAGAGGCGAAUGAGGACAAAUCACGAUCUCAGCAUCAAAAUCCCCAUGCCUCUUGCUUUAAUUUCCAAGUCACAAAAAUCCAGGCACUUCUGGCUCCUCCCAGAAGGGCAGAGGAGGCGGGAGACCCACCUCCUCCUGGCAGCCCAGCCCGAGUGCACACUCCCCAGCACUUCACACCACUUAAAAGACUCUGCCCAAACUGCCAACAACGUGUUACAAACAGAGCGCUCCCCGAAAAUGGAUCAGAAACACUUUGUAAUGAGUGUAGGCGCUGCUUUCAAAAAGGCCAACAUCUAACAAAAUUCCUGGUCCUGAGUGAUCCACCCUCAAAUAGCCCAGCGCAGGCUGAGAAAACUUCCCCCAAAGCCUUCACAUUUGCAGAAGCAGCUCUCUAAGGCAAUCUACCCAAUGACAUAGAUGUCGGAAGAGCUGAACUGUAUUAACUGUUUACAUAUAUUACAUCCCUUCCCUGGAUACUCAGUUAUCUAAGGUCGCCAUAUUUUGGAAAGAAGCGCUAUCUAAGAUUUGGGAUGAUCUUCGGCCAACGAUUACUGGACAACUGGAUCCAAAUUCCACAAAUAACAGUGUUCCUUUACCUGUGUGGGUGUUGUCCCUAAUAGAACGCAGGUGCCAUGCAUUUUCUCUUUCAGGCCUUCCUUUCCACUAUUCCUUCAACUCCAGCAGAUGCCCUGGCUGCUCUACAUGCCCCCUCCAUUUGGGGCCACAGGCAGCACGGGGCCAGGCACAUAGGGACUCUUGGAAAGGGCUUGUGGAAGGGGUCCUCACUGCACGGAGAGGCUCUGUUUUGCACCCCCACUACCCCCAGGACAUAUCCUGGGUAGAUGCUCACUGUCCCAGACUGCAAACCCCAUUUCUUUAUCUGUCGAAACCAUUCAACUGGGAGUGCUGUGAGAGCUGUAACAAGUCCCAUUAAGCACAGCAUCUUCAAGCCCUGCACCAACCAGGCCAGCAAAAGCAGGUCUCAGUGAGAGUCUUCGGAAUGGGAAUCCUUGUGCUACCUCUGGCAGAGCCCCAGCCCAAGGUAUCCGUUUGGAUGUUUAAAGAAGGAAGCAAAUUAACAUCGUUCCCGGUGCUCACAAGAAAGCCGGCUGAUCGUAAAGGACAUCCAGGCAGGCCCGGGAAGAAGCCAGAGUAAAGUCGAGCACGCACUCCUGUGGUUUUCCACCUCUCUUGUAAAAAGUCAUUCAUGGGAAUCGGUGUCCCGAGACGAAAGGGAUACGAAUUAUUAAUUCGAAGAUGGGAAACCCCAAAGGAACCUCACCAUCUAGUGCAAUGCUGUCCUCCUCCAAGCAGAGCAGUCAGGUGGAUUGCACAGUGCAAGGCUGGCGGGACCACAGCCCAGACCUCCUGACCCUGUGCUCCUUACACCCCAGGCCAUCCCCCCGCCCCGCUGAUGUGGAGCUAUCCUUGUGUUGCUUUAACGAAAGGAAGUGCAUGUAGCUUAAAUGCUUAUGGCUGUCUGGAACAGUGCUGAGAAGGAUUCUGAGAGUGUGUCCAGGCCCAGUGGAGAAACAGUGUCUUGAUUUUGGAGUAAAAGCACCUUGAUUUGAUCACCACUGUGUACUGGUUCAUUUUCCAUGAGCAGCUAGUUCAAGUGGGUUUCAGCCAAGGAGUGGGCUUCAUGGGGCUCUUGAGAGGAUCCAUGAU